UAUUACUGAAAAUUAGAACUGACUUAACUUAUAGAAAACGUUUUAUGAAAUACAGAUAGAUAUUGUAAUCAAAACCAAUUUUAUUUGAAACUAUAAAAGAGUAUUUUAAUAGAGAAACGAAAAUUAUACAGUACUAUUAAUUCAUUUUCACUUUUUUAUUAGCAGAUGCUGAACUGUAAGAGGAAUUUUCAAUCCUCCUUUUCUUUUCAAAAUGUCCCAGUGGCUCUAUUCUUGCAAAUGUAUGCCGAACAAGACAUAUUUAACAAAAUAAACGCUAAAAACAAAUUUACAAACGCCGCUAACUGUUACAACACAUGCUUAUCACAACGGCCUACCAACUGUGUUGAAUCCAAAAUGGCUGACGAGUCAGCUCCCCUAUUUAGGAGCCUUAGGUCAUCCCACUUCGACGUCAUUGCUGUAAGAUUUUGAAAUCCCACCACCAGAGUGCGCAGAGUUCCACAUAGUGUAGAAUUCGUACUUGUAACAUACUAAUACCUAAAG
This 501-nucleotide long non-coding RNA is filed under the name Androctonus crassicauda. The record is from RNAcentral. Lineage: Eukaryota; Metazoa; Arthropoda; Arachnida; Scorpiones; Buthidae.